GACGAACGCUGGCGGCGUGCUUAACACAUGCAAGUCGAACGGAAAGGCCCUGCUUUUGUUGUUUGCUCGAUUGGCGAACGGGUGAUUAACCCUUGAGUAACCUGCCCUUUACUUUGGGUUAUCUUCAGGAAACUGGGGCUAUUACCGGAUAGGAGCUCCUGCUGCUUUGUUUUUUUUGGAAAGUUUCGUCGGUUGGGGAUGGACUCGCGGCUUAUCAGCUUGUUGGUGGGGUAGUGGCUUACCAAGGCUUUGAAGGGUAGCCGGCCUGAGAGGGUGACCGGCCAGAGUGGGACUGAGAUACGGCACAGACUGCGAGGGGAGGCAGCAGUGGGGAAUAUUGCACAAUGGGAGGAAGCGUGAUGAAGAAACGCAGCGUGCGGGAUGACGGCCUACGGGUUGUAAAAAGCUUUAGCAUGUGACGAAGCGUGAGUGACGGUAAUGGGUAAAGAAGCACCGGCUAACUACGUG
Molecule: ribosomal RNA, 468 nt
Filed under: uncultured bacterium
Lineage: Bacteria
Description: partial 16S ribosomal RNA
Rfam family: Bacterial small subunit ribosomal RNA
Source: RNAcentral